Molecule: ribosomal RNA, 468 nt
Filed under: uncultured Thauera sp.
Lineage: Bacteria; Pseudomonadati; Pseudomonadota; Betaproteobacteria; Rhodocyclales; Zoogloeaceae
Description: bacterial SSU rRNA
Rfam family: Bacterial small subunit ribosomal RNA
Source: RNAcentral
UUGACGGGGACCCGCACAAGCGGUGGAUGAUGUGGAUUAAUUCGAUGCAACGCGAAAACCUUACUACCCUUGACAUGUCUGGAACCUUGCUGAGAGGCGAGGGUGCCUUCGGGAGCCAGAACACAGGUGCUGCAUGGCUGUCGUCAGCUCGUGUCGUGAGAUGUUGGGUUAAGUCCCGCAACGAGCGCAACCCUUGUCAUUAGUUGCCAUCAUUUAGUUGGGCACUCUAAUGAGACUGCCGGUGACAAACCGGAGGAAGUGGGGAUGACGUCAAGUCCUCAUGGCCCUUAUGGGUAGGGCUUCACACGUCAUACAAUGGUCGGUACAGAGGGUUGCCAAGCCGCGAGGUGGAGCCAAUCCCUUAAAGCCGAUCGUAGUCCGGAUCGUAGUCUGCAACUCGACUGCGUGAAGUCGGAAUCGCUAGUAAUCGUGAAUCAGAAUGUCACGGUGAAUACGUUCCCGGGCCUU